UAAAAGGGCCGAAUUACCCAAGUUGAAUACUGCAUCAGUAUUGUAUACAAACUGUAUCAGUAUUGUAUAUGAACUGUAUAUGGACUACGUAGGCUAAAAGUGGAAUACAAAUGGAUCAAAUCACGUUCAAGAAGAUGUUGCAUUCUUGAAAUCGUCCUGAUAUGUUGUUUUCUUAUUUCUUGGAUAUGUGAAGCCCAUGAACUCAG
RNAcentral lists this long non-coding RNA (206 nucleotides) under Capsicum annuum. RNAcentral describes it as "long non-coding RNA (CANN_LNC014899)". Lineage: Eukaryota; Viridiplantae; Streptophyta; Magnoliopsida; Solanales; Solanaceae. The record is from RNAcentral.